GAUCCUAAAUAAAGGAAAAUUGCAAUUCUAAUGGUUGGUUUAACCAUAUUCUGAAUUUUUAAGUCCAUAUCAAACCAAGAUUUGAAUUAUCUAAAGAAAACGUGCAAAGUAAAAUUGGAAAUAAGUGUUAGUGAUGUGAAACCAGAUAUCAUAUAUAGUUAUAUUUCUCUACAAAACCACUUUCUCUGCCACCACCACUACCACAAUACACCAUCACUGCCGUCGACGCCGCCACCACACCACCACCACACCACUAACUUUUUUGCUCUCUCUUCUCAUAUCUCCAUCUCGCUAAAAAAAACCCAUCCACCUCCAUUGAACCACACACCUCUCUUUUCUCCUUACAUCAUCACCACACCUCCGGUGGUGCACGAAAGGUCGGACCAAACACACCCCCUAUCUCUCAUCCCAACCUCUCUCACCAUCGCCUGAAACAGUUUUUGUCAAUACCACCGAAAAACCUCGUCAAACCCUAGAUCCACGUAUGUGGUUUAUGGAGAAAGAAGACUGUCCUUGGUUUUAAGGUGGUCGGAAACAGAGGUAUUUACCAACAGCGGUUGUGCACCGUUCUUGCUUCAUCUUUUCACUGCUUAUGAACAUCAUACUUGUUGAUACAUAAUUGUGGAUACGGCUCGCUCGGUUCGAGUACUUUACGAAGUGAAGGCCGAGACUCGAUAUCCUCCGUCGUGUCUCGGAUUGUAAUCAACUUUGUUCUGAAUGUGGAUGCUUGCUGCUGAACUAUCUUCUGUUUGCUGCUGUCUGCAUCAAAGUUCUGCAUGACGAAAGACCUAACCUUGUAACAUGACGAAACACCUGCACCUUGGCUACAUGACGAAACACCUGGACCUUGCCUACAUGAUGAAAAUCCUAGUCCAGUCCGCAUAACGAAACAUGUGCAGUACCCAUAGACGAAACUCCUGCCAUUUAUCUUUAUGACGAAAGACCUGAUGUCUUUCGUCAGACAUGGUGUUUCGCCAUGAAUGUUUCGUCGUCUGAUGGACUUUCGUCGGCUGCUGAUGAUGCAGGCUGAAGACAGAAGAUAGUAGCAGACACAGAAGUGAAGAUAGAGAACAUAGAGAGCGCACACACACACGAGAGAACUUAGAGUUUGCUUGUGAAAGCAUAGUCGUGUGUAAUACUUGUAAUAAAAACAAACUUGCUGGUUCUAAUAUACAUGAGAUUUACU
This 1186-nucleotide long non-coding RNA is filed under the name Helianthus annuus (common sunflower). Its description in RNAcentral is "hypothetical non coding rna". The record is from RNAcentral. Lineage: Eukaryota; Viridiplantae; Streptophyta; Magnoliopsida; Asterales; Asteraceae.